Molecule: transfer RNA, 72 nt
Organism: Camelus ferus (Wild Bactrian camel)
Lineage: Eukaryota; Metazoa; Chordata; Mammalia; Artiodactyla; Camelidae
Rfam family: tRNA
About the family: Transfer RNA (tRNA) molecules are approximately 80 nucleotides in length. Their secondary structure includes four short double-helical elements and three loops (D, anti-codon, and T loops). Further hydrogen bonds mediate the characteristic L-shaped molecular structure. tRNAs have two regions of fundamental functional importance: the anti-codon, which is responsible for specific mRNA codon recognition, and the 3' end, to which the tRNAs corresponding amino acid is attached (by aminoacyl-tRNA synthetases). tRNAs cope with the degeneracy of the genetic code in two manners: having more than one tRNA (with a specific anti-codon) for a particular amino acid; and 'wobble' base-pairing, i.e. permitting non-standard base-pairing at the 3rd anti-codon position.
Source: Rfam
GGAGGUAUAGCUCAGUGGUAGAGCACGUGCUUAGCAUACACAAUUCCCUAGGUUCAAUCCCCAGUACCACCA